UCUAAUGUGGCAGAUUAGUGCAAUGGAUUUAAGACCCAUUUAUAAAGAUUAUUCUUUUUUUAGAA
RNAcentral lists this transfer RNA (65 nucleotides) under Staphylinidae sp. BMNH 1274206. RNAcentral describes it as "tRNA-Leu". It matches the Rfam family "tRNA". Rfam says of the family: Transfer RNA (tRNA) molecules are approximately 80 nucleotides in length. Their secondary structure includes four short double-helical elements and three loops (D, anti-codon, and T loops). Lineage: Eukaryota; Metazoa; Arthropoda; Insecta; Coleoptera; Staphylinidae. The record is from RNAcentral.